CGGCGGACGGGUGAGUAAUGCCUAGGAAUCUGCCUGGGUAGGUGGGGGACGAACGUUUCGAAAGGAACGCUAAUACCGCAUACGUCCUACGGGAGAAAGCAGGGGACCUUCGGGCCUUGCGCUAUCAGAUGAGCCUAGGUCGGAUUAGCUAGUUGGUGAGGUAAUGGCUCACCAAGGCGACGAUCCGUAACUGGUCUGAGAGGAUGAUCAGUCACACUGGAACUGAGACACGGUCCAGACUCCGUACGGGGAGGCAGCAGGA
This 262-nucleotide ribosomal RNA is filed under the name uncultured Pseudomonas sp. RNAcentral's name for it is "partial 16S ribosomal RNA". It matches the Rfam family "Bacterial small subunit ribosomal RNA", at positions 96 to 354 of the family's 1533-position model. Lineage: Bacteria; Pseudomonadati; Pseudomonadota; Gammaproteobacteria; Pseudomonadales; Pseudomonadaceae. The record is from RNAcentral.